GACGAACGCUGGCGGCGUGCCUAAUACAUGCAAGUAGAACGCUGAAGAGUGGAGCUUGCUCUUCUUGGAUGAGUUGCGAACGGGUGAGUAACGCGUAGGUAACCUGCCUUGUAGCGGGGGAUAACUAUUGGAAACGAUAGCUAAUACCGCAUAACAAUGGAUGACACAUGUCAUUUAUUUGAAAGGGGCAAUUGCUCCACUACAAGAUGGACCUGCGUUGUAUUAGCUAGUAGGUGAGGUAAUGGCUCACCUAGGCGACGAUACAUAGCCGACCUGAGAGGGUGAUCGGCCACACUGGGACUGAGACACGGCCCAGACUCCUACGGGAGGCAGCAGUAGGGAAUCUUCGGCAAUGGGGGCAACCCUGACCGAGCAACGCCGCGUGAGUGAAGAAGGUUUUCGGAUCGUAAAGCUCUGUUGUAAGUCAAGAACGGGUGUGAGAGUGGAAAGUUCACACUGUGACGGUAGCUUACCAGAAAGGGACGGCUAACUACGUG
RNAcentral lists this ribosomal RNA (497 nucleotides) under uncultured bacterium. RNAcentral describes it as "partial 16S ribosomal RNA". It matches the Rfam family "Bacterial small subunit ribosomal RNA", at positions 28 to 507 of the family's 1533-position model. The record is from RNAcentral.